UACGUAGGUGGCAAGCGUUACUCGGAAUCACUAGGCGUAAAGCGCAAGCAGGCGGUUCGGUAAGUCUCUUGUGAAAGCUCCCGGCUCAACUGGGAGAGGUCAAGGGAAACUACCGGGCUAGAGUGUGGUAGAGGAAGCUGGAAUUCCCGGUGUAGCGGUGAAAUGCGUAGAUAUCGGGAGGAAUACCUAUGGCGAAAGCAGGCUUCUGGGCCAUCACUGACGCUGAGUUGCGAAAGCUAGGGGAGCAAACAGG
RNAcentral lists this ribosomal RNA (253 nucleotides) under uncultured bacterium. RNAcentral's name for it is "partial 16S ribosomal RNA". It matches the Rfam family "Bacterial small subunit ribosomal RNA", at positions 524 to 776 of the family's 1533-position model. The record is from RNAcentral.